Molecule: ribosomal RNA, 228 nt
Filed under: uncultured Cyphobasidiales
Lineage: Eukaryota; Fungi; Basidiomycota; Cystobasidiomycetes; Cyphobasidiales
Description: partial 18S ribosomal RNA
Rfam family: Eukaryotic small subunit ribosomal RNA
Source: RNAcentral
CCAGGUGUGGAGCCUGCGGCUUAAUUUGACUCAACACGGGGAAACUCACCAGGUCCAGACACGACAAGGAUUGACAGAUUGAUAGCUCUUUCUUGAUUUCGUGGUUGGUGGUGCAUGGCCGUUCUUAGUUGGUGGAGUGAUUUGUCUGGUUAAUUCCGAUAACGAACGAGACCUUAACCUGCUAAAUAGCCCGGCCGGCUUUGGCUGGUCGCUGGCUUCUUAGAGGGA